CCUACGGGCGGCAGCAGUGAGGAAUAUUGGUCAAUGGGCGGAAGCCUGAACCAGCCAAGUAGCGUGCGGGAUGAAGGCCCUACGGGUCGUAAACCGCUUUUGCACGGGGAUAACACCCUCCACUUGUGGAGGUCUGCAGGUACCGUGCGACUAAGGACCGGCUAAUUCCGUGCAAGCAACCGCGGUAAUACGGAAGGCCCGAGCGUUAUCCGGAUUCAUUGGGCUUAAAGGGAGCGUAGGCGGGCGUUCAAGUCAGAGGGAAAACCGCGGGGCGCAACCGCGCCCCGCAGUUGAAACUGGACGCCUUGAGUGCACAACAGGCAGGCGGAAUUCGUGGUGUAGCGGUGAAAUGCAUAGAUAUCACGAGGAACCCCGAUUGCGAAGGCAGCCUGCCGGGGUGCGACUGACGCUGAGGCUCGAAGGUGCGGGUAUCAAACAGGAUUAGAUACCCUUGUAGUC
Molecule: ribosomal RNA, 459 nt
Filed under: uncultured bacterium
Lineage: Bacteria
Description: partial 16S ribosomal RNA
Rfam family: Bacterial small subunit ribosomal RNA
Source: RNAcentral